GGGUCAGUAGGUUGGUCGUGCCACCGGUACGUACUGGUCUCACUGAUUCCUCCUUCCUGAAGAACCGUAAUGCCAUUAAUUUGGUGUUGCGGGGAAACAGGACUGUUACUUUGAAAAAAUUAGAGUGUUUAAAGCAAGCUAACGCUUGAAUACAUUAGCAUGGAAUAAUGAAAUAGGACGAUCGAUCCUCUUUUGUCGGUUUCUAGGAUUGACGUA
This 216-nucleotide ribosomal RNA is filed under the name Glomeromycotina sp. Its description in RNAcentral is "partial small subunit ribosomal RNA". The stretch from base 44 to 216 matches the Rfam family "Eukaryotic small subunit ribosomal RNA", at positions 690 to 864 of the family's 1831-position model. The record is from RNAcentral. Lineage: Eukaryota; Fungi; Glomeromycota.